CGUCGUCAUCGAUUAGAUGAGCGCAUCCCCCCUUGCUAGUUGCCAGCGUGGUUUGAUUGGGGAGUUCUUGACAUUUUUUCUUUGCAUCUGUGGAUCAGGUAAAAUGGAUUACGACCAGUGGAGGAGCUCAGCUGAAGCUCGCCGCAGUAAAAAGUUAUGGCAUUCAUUUGAUCAUGUGAUCAUGUGUAAUGAUCAUCUGGUGCUGAGCCACUAAGUAUUGAGCGCACAAAUGUAGUCAAUGUUUCCCUUACUAGGAGCAAUCCUUCUACUUGCCCUAUUGGCUGAAAGGAAUCUCAAGAUGAUGAUUGCCAUAAAGUGUUCAUGGAUGAAUUUGAUCAUAACUGUUUUUCAGAAGGUACUGCUACACUGUUGUUAAGGUAAGGUUGCUGAAUUGUUUAUGAGGGCAGUCUCCAAAGAUUCAAUUUUGUGAACUGUGUAAUCUUGGUAUGUAUCACGUAUGUGAAUCAAUUCUAACGGCAGAAAAAAGGUAAUCACUAUGGUCAAUAUAACUAUUAUAUAUGUAGAUAAAUUAACAUUAGUCUAUAUGUGCAUGUGCACAUGCACCAUUGCUAGUAGAAAGCAAACUGAAGCGUUACAAAAAUUCAGAGAUGGUCUCCACCAUCAGAAGAUGUUCUGAAGAUCAACACAUAUGGCUCGUUCAGAGAGGCGUCACACACAGGAGGAUUGGGCUUUACAAUCCAUACUGAUUGUGGACUGUUGAUGGCCACUGGAGUAGGCAAGUGGCAACCUGGAGUGAGUUGCUGAUCCUCUUCAAGUUGAAGCUCAAGCCAUGCUCCAGGCAGCGAUCACCGCCUCUCAAAUGGGCUGAAAAUGUGUUUUAGAUUAUGAUCCGUCUCCCCCUGGAGUCAUCUGUAGAAAACUAAAUUUCAUUUGCGACUUGGUUUCGAUAAUGUGAAAAUUGUG
Molecule: long non-coding RNA, 924 nt
Organism: Triticum aestivum (bread wheat)
Lineage: Eukaryota; Viridiplantae; Streptophyta; Magnoliopsida; Poales; Poaceae
Exons: 4
Source: RefSeq, a predicted model, not a curated record